RNAcentral lists this ribosomal RNA (253 nucleotides) under uncultured bacterium. RNAcentral's name for it is "partial 16S ribosomal RNA". It matches the Rfam family "Bacterial small subunit ribosomal RNA", at positions 524 to 776 of the family's 1533-position model. The record is from RNAcentral.
GACAGAGGGUGCAAACGUUGUUCGGAAUUACUGGGCGUAAAGCGCGUGUAGGCGGCCCUGCAAGUCGGAUGUGCAAUCCCACGGCUCAACCGUGGAAGUGCAUUCGAAACUGCAGGGCUAGAGUCCUGGAGAGGAAGGUGGAAUGCUUGGUGUAGAGGUGAAAUUCGUAGAUAUCAAGCGGAACACCGGUGGCGAAGGCGGCCUUCUGGACAGUGACUGACGCUGAGACGCGAAAGCGUGGGGAGCAAACAGG